AACAUUAGGCGGAGGAAAAGAAACUAACAAGGAUUCCCCUAGUAACGGCGAGUGAAGCGGGAUGAGCCCAGCACCGAAUCCCCUGGCGUACAGCUAGCGUGAACUGUGGUGUUUAGGACAGCCCCUGCCGGUUCGCACGGUCGCCCAAGUCCUCCUGAUCGGGGCCUUUCCCAUAGUGGGUGUUAGGCCUGUACUGGCGACCGUCGAGCCUGCUCGGAGCGUCCUGGGAGUCGGGUUGCUUGUGAGUGCAGCCCAAAGUGGGUGGUAAACUCCAUCUAAGGCUAAAUACAACACGAGUCCGAUAGCGAACAAGUACCGUGAGGGAAAGUUGAAAAGAACU
RNAcentral lists this ribosomal RNA (340 nucleotides) under Phoronopsis harmeri. RNAcentral describes it as "LSU rRNA". It matches the Rfam family "Eukaryotic large subunit ribosomal RNA", at positions 42 to 375 of the family's 3401-position model. The record is from RNAcentral. Lineage: Eukaryota; Metazoa; Phoronida; Phoronidae.